This 492-nucleotide ribosomal RNA is filed under the name uncultured bacterium. RNAcentral's name for it is "partial 16S ribosomal RNA". It matches the Rfam family "Bacterial small subunit ribosomal RNA", at positions 29 to 507 of the family's 1533-position model. The record is from RNAcentral.
AGUGAACGCUGGCGGCAUGCCUAACACAUGCAAGUCGAACGGCAGCACAGUAAGUGCUUGCCCUUACGGGUGGCGAGUGGCGGUCGGGUGAGGAAUACAUCGGAACCUACUUUUCCGGGGGGGAUAACGUAGGGAAAGUUACGCUAAUACCGCAUACGACCUACGGGUGAAGGCAGGGGAUAUUCGGACCUUUCGCGAUUGAAUGAGCCGAUGUCGGAUUAGCUAGUUGGCGGGGUAAAGGCCCACCAAGGCGACGACCCGUAGCUGGUCUGAGAGGAUGAUCGGCCACACUGGAACUGAGACACGGUCCAGACUCCUACGGGAGGCAGCAGUAGGGAAUAUUGGGCAAUGGGCGCAAGCCUGAUCCAGCCAUACCGCGUGGGUGAAGAAGGCCUUCGGGUUGUAAAGCCCUGUUGUUGGGAAAGAAAAGCAGCAGGUGAAUCCCCCGCUGUUCUGACGGUACCCAAAGAGUAAGCACCGGCUAACUUCGUG